GUGCUCCCUUCAGCAGCACAUACACUAAAAUUGGUACAAUACAGAAAAGAUUAAUAUGGCUCCUGCGUAAAGAUGACAUGAAAAUUUGUGAAGCCUUCUGUAUAUAU
This is a small nuclear RNA of Echinops telfairi (small Madagascar hedgehog), 107 nucleotides long. NCBI's taxonomy places the organism in Eukaryota, Metazoa, Chordata, Mammalia, Afrosoricida, Tenrecidae. The record is from RefSeq and is a predicted model, not a curated record.